This is a non-coding RNA of Allochromatium vinosum DSM 180, 245 nucleotides long. It matches the Rfam family "HNH endonuclease-associated RNA and ORF (HEARO) RNA". Lineage: Bacteria; Pseudomonadati; Pseudomonadota; Gammaproteobacteria; Chromatiales; Chromatiaceae. The record is from Rfam.
GUCAACUACCCCGCCCAGAAGGGCGGAGCUUGUGUAGAGCAAGCUGAGUUGACCAGCCUAAGCCCGCCUGACCAGGAGGGUCGAAAGGGGCUACGUGUGCAACAGGUCGUUAAGACUCACCGGCGGAUGCUUCCUCAGUCCGCCGCUCUGAAAGGUCAGGAUCAGGCUGACGAAAGGUAAAGCGUCGAAGGUCUUGAUCGCCGUGCAAGCGGGAGCCGGUUGCCCACAUUGGCGAGGGGAGCGAC